This 524-nucleotide ribosomal RNA is filed under the name uncultured bacterium. Its description in RNAcentral is "partial 16S ribosomal RNA". It matches the Rfam family "Bacterial small subunit ribosomal RNA", at positions 28 to 523 of the family's 1533-position model. The record is from RNAcentral.
GACGAACGCUGGCGGCGUGCCUAAUACAUGCAAGUCGAACGCUUCUUUUUCCACCGGAGCUUGCUCCACCGGAAAAAGAGGAGUGGCGAACGGGUGAGUAACACGUGGGUAACCUGCCCAUCAGAAGGGGAUAACACUUGGAAACAGGUGCUAAUACCGUAUAACAAUCAAAACCGCAUGGUUUUGAUUUGAAAGGCGCUUUCGGGUGUCGCUGAUGGAUGGACCCGCGGUGCAUUAGCUAGUUGGUGAGGUAACGGCUCACCAAGGCCACGAUGCAUAGCCGAACUGAGAGGGUGAUCGGCAACAUUGGGACUGAGACAAGGCCCAAACUCCUACGGGAGGCAGCAGUAGGGAAUCUUCGGCAAUGGACGAAAGUCUGACCGAGCAACGCCGCGUGAGUGAAGAAGGUUUUCGGAUCGUAAAACUCCGUUGUUAGAGAAGAACAAGGAUGAGAGUAACUGUUCAUCCCUUGACGGUAUCUAACCAGAAAGCCACGGCUAACUACGUGCCAGCCGCCGCCGUAA